Molecule: ribosomal RNA, 369 nt
Filed under: uncultured Dyadobacter sp.
Lineage: Bacteria; Pseudomonadati; Bacteroidota; Cytophagia; Cytophagales; Spirosomataceae
Description: bacterial SSU rRNA
Rfam family: Bacterial small subunit ribosomal RNA
Source: RNAcentral
AGCUCAGCAUUGGGUAUAAAGCGUGCGUAGGUGGCCUGUUAAGUCAGUGGUGAAAUACGGUUGCUCAACAAUCGAGGUGCCAUUGAUACUGACCGGCUUGAAAUAAUUGGAGGCUGCCGGAAUGGAUGGUGUAGCGGUGAAAUGCAUAGAUAUCAUCCAGAACACCGAUUGCGAAGGCAGGUGGCUACGAUUGGUUUGACACUGAGGCACGAAAGCAUGGGGAGCAAACAGGAUUAGAUACCCUGGUAGUCCAUGCUGUAAACGAUGAGGACUCGUUGUUUGGCUGUAAAGCUGAGCGACUUAGGGAAACCGUUAAGUCCUCCACCUGGGGAGUACGCCGGCAACGGUGAAACUCAAAAGAAUUGACGG